RNAcentral lists this ribosomal RNA (503 nucleotides) under uncultured bacterium. Its description in RNAcentral is "partial 16S ribosomal RNA". It matches the Rfam family "Bacterial small subunit ribosomal RNA", at positions 31 to 523 of the family's 1533-position model. The record is from RNAcentral.
AUAGAACGCUGGCGGCAGGCUUAACACAUGCAAGUCGAGCGGGGUGAUGGUGCUUGCACUAUCACUUAGCGACGGACGGGUGAGUAAUGCUUAGGAAUCUGCCUAUUAGUGGGGGACAACAUCUCGAAAGGGAUGCUGAUACCGCAUACGUCCUACGGGAGAAAGCAGGGGAUCACUUGUGACCUUGCGCUAAUAGGUGAGCCUAAGUCGGAUUAGCUAGUUGGUGGGGUAAAGGCCUACCGAGGCGACGGUCUGUAGCGGGUCUGAGAGGAUGAUCCGCCACACUGGGACUGAGACACGGCCCAGACUCCUACGGGAGGCAGCAGUGGGGAAUAUUGGACAAUGGGGGGAACCCUGAUCCAGCCAUGCCGCGUGUGUGAAGAAGGCCUUAUGGUUGUAAAGCACUUUAAGCGAGGAGGAGGCUCUUUUGGUUAAUACCCAAGAUGAGUGGACGUUACUCGCAGAAUAAGCACCGGCUAACUCUGUGCCAGCCGCCGCAGUAA